Non-coding RNA from Coturnix japonica (Japanese quail), 1484 nucleotides. Lineage: Eukaryota; Metazoa; Chordata; Aves; Galliformes; Phasianidae. The record is from RefSeq and is a predicted model, not a curated record.
UUGUCAUUUACUGGCAGGAAAUGCCUUUCCCAUCAGGCAUUUUUACUGUUAAACGCUGGGAAAGCAUAAAAUAUAAAGAAUGAAGAGAAAAGGAUAAUCUCUGCUAAACUCACACUGCAGCAAACAGAAACUGCAGUAAAGGUAGAACCAGGAUUGGACCCCAGGCACUGGUAGUGGGACUACAGAGACCAGAACUGGAGGUUGCUCGUUGUAGUAGCAGCUGCCAUUCAAAACCACCUAAACACAGCACACCAUAGACCUCCUAGCAAGUAAGAAGAAGGGAAGCUGAAGAUGCAGAACGAAGGUCACGGUCCCUAGGUCAUACAGCAUGGAAACCACUGCAGAGAAAACAGAAAGGCUCCAAGUCUUGGUCAGCUCUUCUGGCAAGUGUCUGGGUGGCAUUGUCAGCACAAGAUGCCACGGCAACCCUUUCUUCCUUCUGCCUUCUUCAGAUACGUACAACUACUUUGUGACCAGUUCUGCUAUUCAUUCACUCUAAAAAUCAGUGAUGAUAAUCAGAGCACUGUUAGUGCCUGGUCAUGGCAGAGUUUUGAGAGAAAUUAAAAUACAGGAUGUGUUCGGGAGUUUCUCCCAAAUCCUUUGAAUCCUCCUGGAAAAUAAUCUUCCUACCAACAGUUCUGCUGCCAGCAUAUGCUUUCUGCAUUUCACUCUCUUUCCCACUUGUACUACUGUGAACUGUAUACUGACUGUGACACUGUACAGGAAAGUGAUGAACUAUUUUCAGUUUUAGUACCCUAUGGACUCGUAGUUCAUUUGUGUUGGUAUUUCAGAAUCAGACUUCUACCUUCACAGGCCAGUCCUGGGAGAAGUCAAGCGUACUCUGCUCUUAGGAAACCUGCGGAGCCGUGUGUGCUCAGCACACAACUAAGGCUGAACGAUACCCAGCCUUAGCAAACAACCAGCUGAACAGCAAAUGCCCAAAUCAUUCCAAAAAGGAAACCAAAACAGGCAGGAAAAAGAUGGUAACUGUUUCUCCAGCUAUUCUAACAAAUUAUCAGGAAGCCAUCACUUCUGAAAACAGCACCUAACUCUUGAAACUAAGCACUAACAUUUUCAUUCAUUCUUACAGUUUCUUUCUUUCUCCUGGCUUAUACAUUUCCCAAAUACUUCUCCUAGCAUUUAUUCAGAAUGCACUCAUUGUCAUUCUCUGAACCAUUAUCACCAGCUUUCUGACACGUCUUUCUUAGGAAGGAAGAUUUCAUCAUGGUAACAGUACCCGGCUUUGCCUUAUUCUUACUGUUUUCCUUCUUUCGUGUUAUUCAUGUACACAAGGUCCAAAAUAUUUGCAAUAUGAUCUCAUACUUUUUGUUGCUGUUUCAUUUUGAUCCUGUUUUCCUGCCUGGAAGGAUGUGUGUCACUUGCGUUUUGAAACCAGCUCUGGUAAAUACAGCCACUUCUUGAAAAGAUCACUGCUUUCAUGUGAGCACGACCUUUCCAUAAAUAUACAAGUGGGAAGAAAACCA